Molecule: long non-coding RNA, 834 nt
Filed under: Oryzias sinensis (Chinese medaka)
Lineage: Eukaryota; Metazoa; Chordata; Actinopteri; Beloniformes; Adrianichthyidae
Description: lncRNA (ENSOSIG00000006763.1)
Source: RNAcentral
CACCUGACCCACUGAGCACACACAAGGAGCAAAUCUAUGCCAGGCCUAGGCCACUUUCCAGAGACUUCUCCUUUGCACAAUGGAAUGCUAUAAAAGUGUUUAUUCCAAAACACAAGAAAGUGUGUUUUUCGAAUACUUAAACUAAAAGAAGGAGGGAUUAUCCUAACCUAACUUCAACUUGGUGAGUAAACAAAGAUGUUGCCACGUCUUUCUAAAUAGUGUAAGAUGCAUCAGAACUUUGUUCAUACUCUUCUUCUUCUUUUUUUCCUGGAUUGAUAUAUUUUUAAGCUCAGUUGGUUCUGCAACAUCAUGACCGUCCCAGAGGAUAGAAACUUUAAAUUGAUCCAAUCAGCCAAGAUCACCGAGAAAAAAAAGAAGAGAAAAGGAAAGAAAAAACAGAAACAAGGGAUUAAAGGAUCGUCCUCAACUAUUCCAGAAAAUAAAGAUAAACGAUUGUCCUCUGAGAUCUCGCCGCUCCUGUGUCCUCAGGAACAAACGCAGAUCCAAGAGCAGCUUCCCAAGCCCAAAGCGAGCAAAAAGAAAAAUGCCAAACCGGGCUCUGGCCGCAGCCAGAAAAGCAAAACACAUCAAAAAGAUUCACAGGCUAUGGUUGAAUUGACUGAUGACACCAGCAGCAGCAGAGCCAUGGCGCAUGAGACUGGGCUUGGUAGGCAGGCUAGAGAGAGUCUGAGGUGGGAAGGAGUUCUACAAGACCCCCAAGAGGAGGCCGAGAGGCUGGAGCAGUACAGAGCCAACAGGCGGCAGCGUUACAUCGCACACAGAGAGGCUCUAUUAAAAAACACCCAGCAAGCCUCAAGAGAAGCUUUAAUUUAA